ACGCUCGACACCUACGGGAGCAGCAGUCGGGAAUAUUGCGCAAUGGAGGAAACUCUGACGCAGUGACGCCGCGUAUGGGAAGAAGGUUUUCGGAUUGUAAACCAUUUUAGACAAGGAAGAAACAAGACAGUACUUGUAGAAUAAGCUCCGGCUAACUACGUGCCAGCAGCCGCGGUAAUCUGAGCGGCUGGCAAGGC
RNAcentral lists this ribosomal RNA (197 nucleotides) under uncultured bacterium. RNAcentral describes it as "partial 16S ribosomal RNA". It matches the Rfam family "Bacterial small subunit ribosomal RNA", at positions 328 to 539 of the family's 1533-position model. The record is from RNAcentral.